CCACUAAUUGGGUUGUAAAAGGUCUUUUCUAUUCCAUUUUAAUUCUUAUAAUAUGCCCCUCACCAAGAUAUGAGGGUGUCUGUCUAAGGAUGUCUUUCUUUUCAUUCUUUUCAGCUGUGUUUAUUUUCCUCUCUCCCCUUACCCAUUCUUUGCAAGUUCAUGAAGAGCAUUCAGACCCCAUGAGGGGGUCUCUACAGAUCCCCUAAGAAGAUUAAGCUCUCUGAAUAUUUCAUGCCCUGAUUGACAGCUCUUGAGGACCUCUUGUAAGCCUGGCGCCCGUAUUCUUGUUUUAAAAAAAAAAAAAAAGAAAAGAGCGAGUGAGAGAGAGAGACAAGAAAAUCACAUGCACGGGGGAAAAAAUUGAUCCUAUGGGCCCGACCUCUGUGGAUUGAAGGCACUAGACAGUGGCACUUCCUCCUGGACAUCUCCCCCUCCCUCUCCCUGCCCAUCAGUCUCUACCGUGAAACAAAAGGAAGGUAAUGGGAUUUGAAGAGGCAAGGAGUAGUCAGCCGUCGUGGUUGCUGCCCCCUCCCCUGGAGCUCCAGCCCUUAGGCUCAUGGCCCCUCAAGAGCUAUUGCAUAUAUGAGUGGAUUAGAUGUAUGCAAAGGAUGAGUCUUGCUUGCCUUCACUCUUGGAGUGAUGUCACACCUGCAGGAGGAAGAAGACUGCCCUAAAAAUGUGUUCUUGGACACGAGGUGAAGUUGCAGCACUGCCCUUGAAGCCAAGAAACUUGCUUCUAGUUUACACACCAGUGUAGAAAAACUACAAAAUGCAACCAUUAAAGGUAAUCUUGAGUUUGCAUUUAAGUAAGUGCUUAUGUAUGUGGUUA
RNAcentral lists this long non-coding RNA (829 nucleotides) under Numida meleagris (helmeted guineafowl). Its description in RNAcentral is "lncRNA (ENSNMEG00000022709.1)". Lineage: Eukaryota; Metazoa; Chordata; Aves; Galliformes; Numididae. The record is from RNAcentral.